RNAcentral lists this long non-coding RNA (221 nucleotides) under Musa acuminata (dwarf banana). RNAcentral describes it as "long non-coding RNA (MACU_LNC011597)". The record is from RNAcentral. Lineage: Eukaryota; Viridiplantae; Streptophyta; Magnoliopsida; Zingiberales; Musaceae.
UCCCCAAUAACAUAUGACUAGCACACAUAGGCACCACAUCACACCAAACUUCAUCCUUAUAUCUACCAAUUGAAAAGGAAAUUAACACUUGUCGAUUUACCUUUACUACACCACUAUCAUUCAACCAUUGUAACUUGUACGGUUUUGAAUGCUUGAUAGUAGAUAAUUUCAGUUUCUCCACGAGCAAGGUGCUUGCCACAUUUGUGCAACUUCCACUAUCA